UAUUAGGUUGGUGCAAAAGUAAUUGCAGUUUUUGCCAUUAAAAGUAAUGGAAAGAAACUGCAAUUACUUUUGCAUCAAGCUAAUACUUU
RNAcentral lists this microRNA precursor (89 nucleotides) under Mandrillus leucophaeus (drill). RNAcentral's name for it is "miRNA (ENSMLEG00000022074.1)". The record is from RNAcentral. Lineage: Eukaryota; Metazoa; Chordata; Mammalia; Primates; Cercopithecidae.